RNAcentral lists this ribosomal RNA (305 nucleotides) under uncultured bacterium. RNAcentral's name for it is "bacterial SSU rRNA". It matches the Rfam family "Bacterial small subunit ribosomal RNA", at positions 335 to 657 of the family's 1533-position model. The record is from RNAcentral.
UUUCCUACGGGAGGCAGCAGUGAGGAAUAUUGGGCAAUGGAGGCAACUCUGACCCAGCCAUGCCGCGUGAGUGAAGAAGGUUUUCGGAUUGUAAAGCUCUUUCGGAUGUGACGAUGAUGACGGUAGCAUCUAAAGAAGCCCCGGCUAACUACGUGCCAGCAGCCGCGGUAAUACGUAGGGGGCAAGCGUUAUCCGGAUUUACUGGGUGUAAAGGGAGCGUAGACGGCCAGACAAGUCAGAAGUGAAAGCCCAGGGCUCAACCCUGGGACUGCUUUUGAAACUGCCGGGCUGGAGUGCAGGAGAGG